CCUACGGGCGGCAGCAGUGAGGAAUAUUGGUCAAUGGGCGGAAGCCUGAACCAGCCAAGUCGCGUGAGGGACUAAGGCCCUACGGGUCGUAAACCUCUUUUGUCGGGGAGCAAAAGACGCCACGCGUGGCGUUCCGAGAGUACCCGAAGAAAAAGCAUCGGCUAACUCCGUGCCAGCAGCCGCGGUAAUACGGAGGAUGCGAGCGUUAUCCGGAUUUAUUGGGUUUAAAGGGUGCGCAGGCGGAAGGUCAAGUCAGCGGUAAAAUUGGGAGGCUCAACCUCUUCGAGCCGUUGAAACUGGUUGUCUUGAGUGAGUGAGAGGUAUGCGGAAUGCGUGGUGUAGCGGUGAAAUGCAUAGAUAUCACGCAGAACUCCGAUUGCGAAGGCAGCAUACCGGCGCUCAACUGACGCUCAUGCACGAAAGUGUGGGUAUCGAACAGGAUUAGAUACCCCUGUAGUC
This 459-nucleotide ribosomal RNA is filed under the name uncultured bacterium. RNAcentral's name for it is "partial 16S ribosomal RNA". It matches the Rfam family "Bacterial small subunit ribosomal RNA", at positions 338 to 795 of the family's 1533-position model. The record is from RNAcentral.